RNAcentral lists this ribosomal RNA (465 nucleotides) under Vreelandella stevensii. RNAcentral's name for it is "partial 16S ribosomal RNA". It matches the Rfam family "Bacterial small subunit ribosomal RNA", at positions 338 to 795 of the family's 1533-position model. Lineage: Bacteria; Pseudomonadati; Pseudomonadota; Gammaproteobacteria; Oceanospirillales; Halomonadaceae. The record is from RNAcentral.
CCUACGGGGGGCAGCAGUGGGGAAUAUUGGACAAUGGGCGAAAGCCUGAUCCAGCCAUGCCGCGUGUGUGAAGAAGGCCUUCGGGUUGUAAAGCACUUUCAGUGGGGAAGAAAGCCUUGGGGCUAAUACCCUCGAGGAAGGACAUCACCCACAGAAGAAGCACCGGCUAACUCCGUGCCAGCAGCCGCGGUAAUACGGAGGGUGCGAGCGUUAAUCGGAAUUACUGGGCGUAAAGCGCGCGUAGGCGGUCUGAUAAGCCGGUUGUGAAAGCCCCGGGCUCAACCUGGGAACGGCAUCCGGAACUGUCAGGCUAGAGUGCAGGAGAGGAAGGUAGAACUCCCGGUGUAGCGGUGAAAUGCGUAGAGAUCGGGAGGAAUACCAGUGGCGAAGGCGGCCUUCUGGACUGACACUGACGCUGAGGUGCGAAAGCGUGGGUAGCAAACAGGAUUAGAUACCCUAGUAGUC